RNAcentral lists this ribosomal RNA (253 nucleotides) under uncultured bacterium. Its description in RNAcentral is "partial 16S ribosomal RNA". It matches the Rfam family "Bacterial small subunit ribosomal RNA", at positions 524 to 776 of the family's 1533-position model. The record is from RNAcentral.
UACAGGGGGGGCAAGCGUUGUUCGGAAUUACUGGGCGUAAAGGGUUCGUAGGUGGCCACUUAAGUCAGACGUGAAAUCCCUCGGCUUAACCGGGGAACUGCGUCUGAUACUGGUUGGCUCGAGUUUGGGAGAGGGAUGCGGAAUUCCAGGUGUAGCGGUGAAAUGCGUAGAUAUCUGGAGGAACACCGGUGGCGAAGGCGGCAUCCUGGACCAACACUGACGCUGAGGAGCGAAAGCCAGGGGAGCAAACGGG